AGAGCAAUUGCUGGACCAUAUGGUGAGAGUAUUUUUAGGGUAUAAGAAACUGCCAAACUUUCUUCCAAAGUAAAUGUGCCCUUAUGCAUUCCCACCAGCAAA
Molecule: microRNA precursor, 102 nt
Filed under: Marmota monax (woodchuck)
Lineage: Eukaryota; Metazoa; Chordata; Mammalia; Rodentia; Sciuridae
Source: RNAcentral